This is an RNA transcript of Myxocyprinus asiaticus (Chinese sucker), 5077 nucleotides long. It is a transcript of the gene named phosphatidylinositol 4-phosphate 5-kinase type-1 beta-like, with no coding region annotated. The record is from RefSeq and is a predicted model, not a curated record. The transcript is spliced from 15 exons. Lineage: Eukaryota; Metazoa; Chordata; Actinopteri; Cypriniformes; Catostomidae.
CAGUACACCUGUCUAGUGAGCGAAACGUUUUCGGAUCUCGGAAUAUCAGUUUACACAAACCCUUCUUUUUCUGAAAGCAAGACAGACACCACCCAAAAAAAGAGGUAUAUACAGGUUGAUAGAAAGAACAUCCAUUCUAAACAACUCCCAGACCUCUGCCUUCUAUCCAGUCCACAUGACUGAGCCAUGCAGAAGCCGUGAACAGCGCACGAACAGCUGCGUUCUUGGUUAAAACAAGAUGUCAUCGACCAAUGAGAAUGGAGUCAGUGGGUCUAGAAAUAACAGUCGAGAGAAAACGUACAAAAAGACUACUUCAUCUGCCCUGAAAGGAGCCAUCCAGCUGGGCAUUGGUUACACCGUGGGGAACCUGACCUCAAAACCUGACCGAGAUGUGCUCAUGCAGGACUUCUAUGUGGUGGAGAGUGUUUUCUUACCAAGUGAGGGGAGCAAUCUGACUCCAGCGCACCAUUAUCCAGACUUCCGCUUCAAGACAUACGCACCUUUGGCUUUCCGUUACUUCCGGGAGCUGUUUGGAAUCAAGCCAGAUGAUUACUUGUACUCCAUUUGUAAAGAGCCCUUGAUUGAGUUGUCUAAUCCGGGCGCCAGUGGCUCACUUUUCUACCUGACCAGCGAUGAUGAAUUCAUCAUCAAAACUGUCCAGCAUAAGGAGGCAGAGUUUCUACAAAAACUGCUUCCAGGAUACUACAUGAACCUCAAUCAGAACCCAAGGACUCUCCUACCCAAGUUCUACGGGCUGUACUGUAUUCAGUCCGGAGGAAUCAACAUUCGUCUCGUGGUUAUGAACAAUGUUUUACCGCGGUCUUUAAAGAUGCACUACAAAUAUGACCUGAAAGGCUCCACGUACAAGAGGCGAGCAUCACGGAAAGAGCGGGAAAAGGCCUGCCCCACAUAUAAAGACCUAGACUUUGUGGACAUGCACGAUGGCUUGUAUUUUGACACAGAGACUUAUAACGCCUUGAUGAAGACAUUACAGCGAGACUGCCGGGUGCUGGAGAGUUUUAAGAUCAUGGAUUACAGUCUGCUGCUGGGAGUCCAUGUGUUGGACGAACGUCACAGAGGAGACGACGUCAGUGUUGUAGACGGCAGGAGAACGGUAGCACAGAGAGUUCUUUACUCCACUGCCAUGGAGUCUAUUCAGGGAGAUGGCAAAGCAGCUGAGGCCUUGACAACGGACGACACAAUGGGCGGCAUUCCUGCAAGAACACACAGGGAUGAGAAACUACUUAUUUUUCUUGGCAUAAUCGACAUUUUACAAUCUUACAGAUUCAUGAAGAAGUUAGAACACUCGUGGAAGGCACUCGUCUAUGAUGGUGAUACAGUGUCUGUGCACAGACCAGGUUUCUAUGCAAACAGAUUUCUCAAGUUCAUGAGCACCCGAGUAUUUCGGAAGAUUCAGCCAAAUCGUUUCUCCCCAAGCAAAAGGGCACGGAAUUCCAUAUCUGCGCUGAAGUUCUCCUCUCAGGAGGUGCUUUCCACACAGAAGGAGGAGAAGGGCGAUGAGAGGGUGGACAGACUUGCAGGAGCCCGUAGUCUAGCCAGUCUAGAUGGACAAGUGUUCUGGUCCUAUAACCGUCCUGACCUGGUUCCUCAAACUCAUUACCCAUAUGAGGCCUCUUCCUUAAACCACACCCUCUCCCCGCCCCCAGUAUUCGUCUCACCCCCACACUACCUGGAGGCCAAAUCAAACAAAAGAGACACUGAACUAUCCAACUCCUUGAGAAAAUAGUCAAACAAUGCUACAUUUAAAGGAAUAGUUCACUUUCUCGUCUUUCGAAACCCGAAUGACUUUCAUUCUUUCGUGAAACACAAAAGGAGUUAUUUAUAGCAGAAUUAUCAAGCUGCUCUAAUCCAUACAAUGAUAGUGAAUGGUGACCAUGGCUGUCGAGCAAGUUUUCAGCAUAUAACUUGCAAUAUUUUGGUCUAUUUCUCACUGGAUUCAGAACACUUGGAAUAUAGUGCAUGAGUUGUUUGGUUUUCAAUUAUCAUACUUUUAUGGUGCUUUUUGGAGCUUGACAGCCCCUGGUCACCAUCCACUUUCACUGUAUGGAAAUGAGCUGAUUGUGGAAGAGCAUUCUGCUAAACACCUGUAUUUGUGUUAUGCAGAAGAAAGUUGUGCAGGUUUGGACAUGAGAGUGACGAGGUAACUCUUAUGUUUGGGUGAGCUGUCCCUUUAAUUAUUUAUGAUAAAUUUCCUGUAUGAUGCUACAGUUGGCGUGAGAAACUGACCAGGUGCUGUCAUGCUACACUUGUCCUGUUGUUUGAUUCUUUGUGUCUGGUUUUCACUGAUAUCCCCACCGUAGACACACACCUGUUUUAAGUGGAAUUCCUGUAAAAAGACCUCAUAAAUAUUUCACCUGCUUGCUAAGGAAGGAUAUAAUGGUGUUAGUUUUAUGACACAGAAGGGAACAUUUGGUAUUCCUGAGCUUAAACAAUGAUUGUUGAGUUACAUAACAUUGUCAGCUGUUAUCUUUGACUUAAUCAGUAUGAUAUAUUAAUUAGUGGUGCUGAAUGAUACCUCAAAUGAUAUGGCUUGUUGAGGAGAGGUAUGCUGUUACUAAGCAAUAGCAGAUGAUAAAAUGGGUGGAAAAAAAGUGUGAGCCUUAUCGAAACCCUUACAAAUAUCGAGAGUUCAUGGCAAAUUUGCCAUUGAUUAUUUUCACAUGCAAAUGAGCUUUGUGGCAAAUUGGUUUUUGUUGCCAAAGAUUUGCUGUAGGCUCACCACUACCGGUGAAGAGCUGCAAACUUCUGCUAAACAUUUGAGGCGAAUCACAAGCUCAUUUGCAUGUGAAAAUAACGAGUGGCAGAUUGCGGCAAAUUUGCCAUGAACUGUCGGUUUUUGUAAGGGAAGGAGUUUUGCACACUCAUAUGUUCUUCAGAAAAUCUAAGGCCACAUCUUCACUAAUCCAUUGUCAUUUGAAAACUCUGUGUUCAGUUUCCUAACGUCAUCGUUUUCCAAAGUGUGCGAUAAUGGAGAGCUUUUGGUGGAGGAAAUGCGUUCUAGUGUCGAUUAGAUGAACAAACAUAGCAAAAUGUAUGCGUUUUCAAAACAUAUUAUUGUGGACGUGGCCUAAAAAUCUAUUUUACAACAACAGAGUACUAAUAAACUUUCUCAAGAAUAUUUACAGCUUGAAUUAAGGCUGGGUAUCCUGAUUUGAUUCGGUUUGAUUACGAUUUAGAUACUAUUUGAUUAAAUCCUGAUUCAUUUGGGUAGCCUAUAUUUCAGUUAUAAUGUCCAUUUUGCUUACAUUACAUAUGAAAGAAAUUCUCUCUCAGCUAAUGCUGUAAAUUACACAGGGAACCUUGUAAACUGGUACAUUACGAACAUAUUAAUUAAAAAAAUGAACAACAGGGCCCAAACGGAGCAGCUCAGUUGCUGUUUAACAGACAUAAUAAUUAACAAAACUGACGUAAACUUUAAAAGAUCGAUCUUAGGAUUUUAUAAAUCGAUAUCGGGAUCAUUUAACUGCCCAACCCUAGUUGGAACGACUUACUAUGUUGUGUGAAUCUAGUUAACCAAUUGACAAGUGUACUGAUGAGUUAAAAAACACUCUGGCAUGUGAUGAAUUCUAGAAAAUGUUUGAUUAUGUAAAGGACAAGCCUGUGUUAAUGAAUACUCUCAGUGUCUGAAAUGUGUCAUAGCCACAAGAAAUAUUACAGCUGACAUGCUCUUUCUCAGUCUCUUUUUCAUAAACAAAUAGACAAGCCCACACAUAUUUCCUCAGAUCACUGCAAACACACUAUGCUAAUUCAUAUUUUGAGACCAUCAAUUUUUGCAGUUACAUUUUGAGAACUCUUAACUUGGCUUUGCGCUUUUUAAUUCAAUGGUGUGGUUUUCUUUGUGGAUCAGAAGUGGCAUUGUUUCCUGCUCAACUUUCACAUUGGAUGACAGCGCCAUCUGUCUGUCAUCCGAGCAAAGCACCAUGGACAUAGAUCGAGAUGAUGAUUCAGUGCUGGACGUCUACUUUUGAGGAGCCAAAUGAGAUGAUCCUUCAUCAUCUUUCAGUCCUCCUCAUCACCUGCUUCUAUGGUCCUUUGGAUUCUCAUGUGCAGAGAGCGCCCCCUGCUGCCAAACCACACAUCAUUGUGCAGACAUUCGCCAGUAUAACAGCUACAACUACCAACAUACAUAUUUAUACAUCAAAUCACAAUGCAAAACUGUUAGCAGGAGUUGUAGCUUUAAGUGGCCUAAGAGGUCACACGAUCUUACAUUCAUGGACGCCAUCAACCAAAUAAGCAGAGCUGGCUGUGUUUUUGUGCUGCUUCACUGCAAAAGAACUUUACAGACCUUAGAUAAAAUGGCAGCUCUGGGGUCCGACUGAAAAUAGACUUGACUUCAUGUGAUGUCAUCAUUCUUUGUUUAGGAGACAUGCAAUAAAUUUGCUUAUCUGUUAUGCAGAAACAGUUUGCAUAAAUGGCUAGCAACUACACAGUACCUCCUAAAGGGAUAGAUCACACAAUGCAAAUUAAUUUACUCAUGUUGUUCCAAACCUUUAUGACUUUGUUUAUUUCAUGGAACACAACGAGAUGUUAGAAUGUUAGUCUUAUUUACCAUCUACUUUCAUUAUAUGGAUAAAAGAUACAACGAAAAGUCCUUUUUGCGUGAACUAUCCCUUUAAAGGAUUUAGUGUUUAGUGGCAUAGAUGCUUUGUGACUUAAACUCUAUGUAGGUAACACAGCAGUUCAAAUAUUUUUAAAAUGUGCAAUUUUCAUACAGUAUAUAAGUGUGUUAUUGUAAUUCUCCUCACUGGAGUAAUAAUCUUGACAUUUUAAUUCCAAGGAAACACACAGUUUCUAGGAAACAGUCAAUGUGUGACUUCAUUUCUCAAAACUAUGAGCACAGACAUGCCAUGUACUGUAAAUAUACGUAUGUGUAACUUUCACUGUACAAUUUUUAGUCAUGCUCAGAUUUAUGCUGGUACAUCAGCUCCUGAUAAUCAAGAGUGAAAUUUGUAUCAGCAGUAAACAUUUAUACACUGCAAAAAAAAAUUAAAGAAAUUAUAAUAAAUUUAAAAAAAAUAAAAAAAUAAAGAAAUUAUAUAUAUAUAUAUAUAUAUAU